GCCGCGAUGGUGGAAUUGGUAGACACGCUGGUCUUAGGAACCAGUGCCUUCGGGCGUGUGGGUUCGAGCCCCUCUCGCGGCACAA
This 85-nucleotide transfer RNA is filed under the name Fidelibacterota bacterium. RNAcentral describes it as "tRNA-Leu". It matches the Rfam family "tRNA". From Rfam's summary of the family: Transfer RNA (tRNA) molecules are approximately 80 nucleotides in length. Their secondary structure includes four short double-helical elements and three loops (D, anti-codon, and T loops). The record is from RNAcentral. Lineage: Bacteria; Pseudomonadati; Fidelibacterota.